Molecule: long non-coding RNA, 291 nt
Organism: Ceratosolen solmsi marchali
Lineage: Eukaryota; Metazoa; Arthropoda; Insecta; Hymenoptera; Agaonidae
Exons: 4
Source: RefSeq, a predicted model, not a curated record
UAAUAACAUUAUUUGUAUUGCUCACUUACGGUCAAUACCAGGACCUUAAAAUUUGCUUGCUACGUUGUAAAAGAUAUCCUCCACAACGAAAGGUAGUAUGUGUGCAUUACUGCAACUACAGAUACGGAGAAAUUAAAUUUCCAGGAUUUAUUGACUAAGGAACUAUUCUUUAUAUAUUCAACAUACAAUGCAAUUCCUGCAAUAUCAGUACUAAGAUGUAAAACAUGUAAUGACGUUUCCAAAAUGCUAAAAAGGAAAUAAAUUAAUUAUUUAUUAUUAUAUAACGAUUUA